RNAcentral lists this unclassified non-coding RNA (281 nucleotides) under plant metagenome. RNAcentral describes it as "partial contains small subunit ribosomal RNA, internal transcribed spacer 1, and 5.8S ribosomal RNA". The record is from RNAcentral.
UUUCCGUAGGUGAACCUGCGGAAGGAUCAUUGUCGAAGCCUGCCCAGCAGAACGACCCGCGAACUUGUAUAAACAACCGGGGGCAGGGGCGAUCUCGCCCCGUGCCCUCGAACGGCAGGGAGACACUCGUGCCUUCUUGUCGAACAACGGACCCCGGCGCGGUCUGCGCCAAGGAACUUCAAUUAAAGAGUGCCUCCGGUCGCCUCGGAAACGAUGCGCGUGUCGGAGGCGAAUCUUGUACAAAACCAUAACGACUCUCGGCAACGGAUAUCUCGGCUCUC